RNAcentral lists this ribosomal RNA (100 nucleotides) under uncultured bacterium. Its description in RNAcentral is "partial 16S ribosomal RNA". It matches the Rfam family "Bacterial small subunit ribosomal RNA", at positions 392 to 508 of the family's 1533-position model. The record is from RNAcentral.
UGACGCCGCGUGCGGGAUGACGCCUUUCGGGGUGUAAACCGCUUUUCCCAAGGACGAGGAUGGACGGUACUUGGGGAAUAAGUCUCGGCUAACUACGUGC